This 127-nucleotide ribosomal RNA is filed under the name Kitasatospora aureofaciens. RNAcentral describes it as "Streptomyces aureofaciens partial 23S ribosomal RNA". It matches the Rfam family "Bacterial large subunit ribosomal RNA", at positions 2802 to 2925 of the family's 2925-position model. Lineage: Bacteria; Bacillati; Actinomycetota; Actinomycetes; Kitasatosporales; Streptomycetaceae. The record is from RNAcentral. RNAcentral also lists the same sequence under 1 other name.
AGAUGAGCACUCCCACCUCCUUGAGAGGGUAAGGCUCCCAGUAGACGACUGGGUUGAUAGGCCGGAUAUGGAAGCCCUGUGAGGGGUGGAGUUGACCGGUACUAAUAGGCCGAGGGCUUGUCCUCAG